RNAcentral lists this non-coding RNA (102 nucleotides) under Bacillus methanolicus. RNAcentral's name for it is "TPP sequence". It matches the Rfam family "TPP riboswitch aptamer (THI element)". From Rfam's summary of the family: Vitamin B(1) in its active form thiamin pyrophosphate (TPP) is an essential coenzyme that is synthesised by coupling of pyrimidine and thiazole moieties in bacteria. The record is from RNAcentral. Lineage: Bacteria; Bacillati; Bacillota; Bacilli; Caryophanales; Bacillaceae. RNAcentral also lists the same sequence under 1 other name.
GAAUUUCACUAGGGGAGCCUAUGGCUGAGAUGGAACUUCUGUUCUAAACCCUUUGAACCUGAUCUGGAUUAUACCAGCGGAGGGAAGUGGAGAGAGCCUAUG